GUGCUAAAACCAGGGAACCCGAGAAUGCCUAACACAUUCGCUCGGGUUAACAGAAUUCCUUACUCGAAUUUCUGUGUUCGCGGACCAUUAAUAAGAGUCAAGUUUCCUCGAUUCAGGAUUUUAAACCGGUGACUUGGGACACCAUAAAUUAUCCCAAGUGACGACUCUGAACAAUAAAUAAAUAAUCCCGUUUUGAUUGUCACUUAAAUUGGAAAAAACUCCCUUAUACCCUUCCGGGGGUAGGAAAAAGGAGGUGUGACAGCACCAAUAGGCCUACGCCUCUCAUAAGCCUCCCACCAAGUGAAGGCGGCUUCAAAAAACUGAAAAGUAGUGAAAGCGACCCCGCUGGUCUCCAAAAUACCCGUUGUACGAAGAAUCUUCUGACACUAGUCCAAGAAACCCUGGGCAUCCUCGCCCUCUGUACCACUGAAAGUCGGAGGCUGAAGUCUACCAAACCUCUUCAACCUGCGUUGCUCAUCCUCUGGCAUAGCAGGAGCUACAUAGUCCUGAAUAGCUGCAAUCGGUUGGGCUGGAGGUGCCCCCGGUGUAUGAAGUCCCUGCACGACCUGCUCAGGUGUGCUGUUGCGCCCCCUUUUUUCCCCUUCCAUCGGAGAGGAGUUUCCGAGUUUCGACAUUCAUGGGGUGUAAUGAUUCAUUUCCCUUUUGGGAAUUGGGUAUUUUGAAGAGUCGCCCCCUAACAAUUUUAAGGUGCGUUAGGGCACCUAUAAGGUUCAACUACAACUAUGUUUGAUAAACAAAGAUAGGGUAAGGGCUUGAAAUUAUCCCAAGGAGAAGGUGUUAGGCACCCCUCAGGAUCCACUAGUGUGGUUCCCGGCCAAAUAGUUUUUGUGAAUUUGUGUAAUUAUCAAGUAAACAAAUAAAGGCUCAAGUAAUAGGGGAUUUAAUUUUAAAUACACAAACGUUUGGAAAAAGAUUAAGAAAAAAGGUUUUGAAAAAAGUUACAAUCUAAACAUGCUUGUGAACAUAAAAGGGGUCCUAGGUUUGUUUGUAAUAUGGAUCACCUCAAUGCAAUACCCAGUAUGACACUCCUUAGAAGAGGGGAUACACGUGGUAUUAGCGCACCAGUCAUCAUAUCCAUAUCUACCCUUCCCACACAAUUAAAGUAUUAAAGCGAGGAUUGGUCUCGACCUCUAUUGUGUGCUGUUACCCGUCCCAUUCCUAUAAGUCCUAGAGGAAUUUAGGACUACUAUUCCUAUAAGAGGGAGGUUUUGGGCUGACUCUUGGAUUUAAAGGUAAAAGGCUAAGGCGACAAACAAAACAUGUAGGACUGCAUUUAAAAGGGAAACAUGUACAGAAUUAGAAGGCUCAUGUAUACCUCCGCAAAUAAUGCAUAUAAAUAGCACGGCUUAAACACAGUUAAGGUCUGAAUUUAAAAGACUAAAGCAGGGUGUUUGAGUUAUUGAAGCAGAACCAAAUUCAUUACAUAACUCAGAUAAGAAGUCCGAAUCAGGCAUGCCUGCUAGUUGUAGCAGUUGCUAUUUAAACAGAGGCAAUUUCAAUUUCAUUCGAAUUAUUACCUAUGGCUUUCCUAGGCAUGUGAUACCGAUGUCUUAUGAGCAUGAUAUCUAUUACUGAUUAGGGAUGUAAUAAAGCAGUAAACAAAUUUUAAACAAGCGAUUUGGACCCUAUAUACAUGCUUUCUAGUGAUAUUGAUUUACACGAAAGAGUAGGUUAUUUAAUCUGAUUCAGAAUAAAUAGGUUAUAACUAAACUGGCUUCAGAUCCCAUAGACAUGAUUUCUAUUACAGCUGAUUUUAAAUCCUAUAGGUAUGGUAUCUAAUUAUUAAAAGCAGAUUUUGAUCUUAUAGGCAUGAUUUUAAGGAGACGAAUUGGAAUACAUGCUGUAAUGGAAACUGGACUUCAAUUAUUUUACACCCUAAAGGCAUGAUAUCUAAUUGUGUGAAAGUGAAGCAUGCAGAAUUUAUUAAACUAAAGCAGAUCCUAUAGGCAUAUUAUCUAACAAGCACGUUUGAAUCAAAAUGGAUCCUUUAGACAUCUUAUCUACCCUUCUGCUAGCACCCCGUCCCUUUUUCACUAGCCAGCCCCAAUAUUUGUUUACAAAUUAUUACAGACCAAAUAAUUGAAAUACCUAAGAAGUGCAAAAUAAGAAGUUACAACCAUAGGAAGCCUGAUUCUGACUUCCUCUAUGAGUUAUAGAAUAAAACCACCUCAAAUGCCAAUGUCAUUUCAAAGCCUUUCUCAUAUCUGGGUGUGUCAGAGUUCCCUAAAGACCUCAAGGGAUGCCGGGUAGUGCUCACACCCAGAUUUGCAUAGCCAAACAGAGUAAGUGCAGUGUGGAAAGGCCAGCUCAUGUGUGUCCAAGUUCAGAGGGAGCUCAAGGGUCCCAAGGCAAGGUUCACACAAAAGGGGCAGAACCUAGAUUCAAAGAGUAUGGUGAAGGUGCAGAACACAUGUUGAAAGAAAUUUGUUUGAAAAGCUGGACUGAUGGUCCAUUUUGAAUGUAAUCAGUUACAGGAGUGUUUGAAAUCAAUAAUAGUAAAAUGAGACUCGAAACUUAGUAGUCACACAAAGGGGUCAAGGGACUUGUGGACACACAGACAUUUGUCUGUAAACACAAAACCCCAGUCGGGGUCUGGUUUUGACAUACACAGUAAUAGUUGAUACUGGAAUAGUCACAAACCAAACACAUAGAGGGGAUAUGGGGGUUUGAGAUUCAUAAGACUGCAAGUAUACAGCAAGUGACUGACAGAGCAUGCCUUGGAACACAUGUAGGGGAGUGCAUUAAUCUAAAGGGGAAGGGGAUACAUUAUAACAUGCUGGUAAUGUAUCUUGACUGCAGAACCACAGGCAGAAGUAGACAAGAAUGAGAGAAAUUGGAACAAUUAAGAAACAUGUUGUUGUUGAGGCCUGAAAAAUUAACUAGGGCAUACCAGUAGAGAAGCAAAGUGCAGAAAGGAAGAGUAAGAAGGAUUCCAUAGUCUAGUCUUGGCUUUCAGCCGGCUAGACAAAGCAAUAGCACAAGUAGUAGUAGAGAAAGAGAGAGUUUUGAGUGUAAGUGUGUGUUUUUUUAACUCAAAUUGUUCGUGUGUUUAAAGAAGAGAGGAUAGGGUAUUUAUAGUUUUGAAAACGAGUAAAGAAUAAUGUAAAAAGUAAGGUUUUAAUACAGACAUGGAAACAAUCACAAUCAGAAUCAAUUAAUACAAGUACUUCCCUUUAAUCAGGGAAUUACUGCUCAAACGGAUACUAAAAGGGUCAAAUAAAGGAAAGAAAUCAUUUUGGGACAGAUUGAUUCUUGCCAUAUAAGGGGGCAGUAAAAGUAUGAAGUAAAUAAUUAAGUCUAAGUACAAAAUAUGCUUAAUUUUAGGAAAAGAUUCAGCAAGGUAAAACAUCACCGUAAUUAAGGAAGGGAAUCAAUCAAUUUUAAACAAAUGAGUAAAAAUUAGGGUUUAUAAGGCAACCUUUUGCAAUCAGUCGUAACAUUGAGGAAAUCAAGAAUAAUCAAGAAAGAAUCAUGACUCUGCACUUCAGCAUAUAAAUAGAAUGAACAGAAAUAUUAGACAUGCAAGGCCAAACGCAUUGGCAAAAGAAAAAACUGGAUGCAUACAAACAUGCAGCAGUAACAAGAGUAAGCUAGGGAUCAGUAGUCAACCAAGUCAAAUAGUCAGGGUUCACACGUAGAGCCAAAGUGAAGAAACCAGUCCAACAAGCAAAGAGAGUCAGAAACAAGUAAAGAUCUCAUAGUAACAAGUGAGGAAAAACUUUUAAGAAAUUAGGAUUUUCACAAUAGUAAGAACACAGAAUCAGAUAAGUCAAACAGGAAAGAGGAUUCAAACACAAAGAGCUUAAUAGAAACAAGUAUACACAAGACAAACAAAGGCAUCUUCAAAACUCGGAUAAAACCAAAACACUUAAGGUUUUUAACACGAGGAACCAGAUGGAAGAAAAAUAUAAGCAAAUCGUUUAAACAAAGUAAAACAUUACUGAAAAAUCGAAGAAGAGAUCUUUGAAAAGAGUCUAAGAAAACCCUAGUUUGAAAAUGAAGAGUCACUUUGAAAGAAAAUCGAAAAACCUUUUUGGAAAACAUCAAGAAGUUCAUAACGCGCACAGAUCUAAAACAAAUCUGAAAGAAAAAUCAAAAAACUCUUAGAGCUAGGGUUUCAGAGAACCCAGAGAAAGUGAGAAAGACUUUGAAAAGUUACCGAUCUAGCCGGAAAAGUCAAGUAUCUGACUUGAACAUCCAUGGAUGGCCGGAAGAAGGCCAUAGAUAGAAGUUGAACCAAGACUGGACCUUUGAGAUCUGUCCAUGGAAUCACGAAAAUAGGUAACCAACAGACAUAACAGACUAGUACACCCCUCAAAUCACCAUGGGAGCCCAUGAAUUAGGUAGGGAUCGCAAGGGAUUAGGGUGGAAUUGGGUGGUGGAGGCUAGGGUUUAUGUGAGGAUGCAGAGAGAAUUGAGAGGAGAGGGAUUCAAGGGCGGCGGGUGGUGAGAAAUGAAUUAGGUUAAGG
This 4490-nucleotide long non-coding RNA is filed under the name Nicotiana tabacum (common tobacco). RNAcentral describes it as "long non-coding RNA (NTAB_LNC016415)". The record is from RNAcentral. Lineage: Eukaryota; Viridiplantae; Streptophyta; Magnoliopsida; Solanales; Solanaceae.